UACGUAGGGUGCAGGCGUUAAUCGGAAUUACUGGGCGUAAAGCGUGCGCAGGCGGUUUGCUAAGACAGAUGUGAAAUCCCCGGGCUUAACCUGGGAACUGCGUUUGUAACUGGCAAGCUAGAGUGUGGCAGAGGGGGGUGGAAUUCCAAGUGUAGCAGUGAAAUGCGUAGAUAUUUGGAGGAACACCGAUGGCGAAGGCAGCCCCCUGGGCUAACACUGACGCUCAUGCACGAAAGCGUGGGGAGCAAACGGG
This 253-nucleotide ribosomal RNA is filed under the name uncultured bacterium. Its description in RNAcentral is "partial 16S ribosomal RNA". It matches the Rfam family "Bacterial small subunit ribosomal RNA", at positions 524 to 776 of the family's 1533-position model. The record is from RNAcentral.